GGCGUCCUUCGGGCGUCCGAGUUGUAAUCUAUAGAAGUGUUUUCCGUGCCGGACCAUGUCCAAGUCCCUUGGAACAGGGUAUCAAAGAGGGUGACAAUCCCGUACUUGACAUGACCACCGGUGCUCUGUGAUACACUUUCUACGAGUCGAGUUGUUUGGGAAUGCAGCUCAAAAUGGGUGGUAAAUUCCAUCUAAAGCUAAAUAUUGGCGAGAGACCGAUAGCGAACAAGUACCGUGAGGGAAAGAUGAAAAGCACUUUGGAAAGAGAGUUAAACAGUACGUGAAAUUGUUGAAAGGGAAACGAUUGAAGUCAGUCGUGUUCUUUGGACUCAGCCGGUUCUUCCGGUCUAUUUCCUUUGAACGGGUCAACAUCAGUUUUGUCCGGUGGAUAAAGGCAGGAAGAAAGUGGCUCCCUCGGGAGUGUUAUAGCUUUCUGUCACAUACACUGGAGGAGACUGAGGACUGCAGCUCGCCUUUUGGCCGGGGUUCGCCCACGUUCGAGCUUAGGAUG
This 511-nucleotide ribosomal RNA is filed under the name Vanrija musci. RNAcentral's name for it is "eukaryotic LSU rRNA". It matches the Rfam family "Eukaryotic large subunit ribosomal RNA", at positions 123 to 625 of the family's 3401-position model. Lineage: Eukaryota; Fungi; Basidiomycota; Tremellomycetes; Trichosporonales; Trichosporonaceae. The record is from RNAcentral.